UGGGGAAUAUUGGACAAUGGGCGCAAGCCUGAUCCAGCAAUGCCGCGUGUGUGAAGAAGGCCCUAGGGUUGUAAAGCACUUUCAGUAGGGAGGAAGGUUGAGGGGCUAAUAUCCUUUCAAUUUGACGUUACCUACAGAAGAAGCACCGGCUAACUCUGUGCCAGCAGCCGCGGUAAUACAGAGGGUGCGAGCGUUAAUCGGAAUUACUGGGCGUAAAGGGUGUGUAGGUGGUUUUGUAAGUUAGAUGUGAAAUCCCCGGGCUUAACCUGGGAACUGCGUUUAAAACUGCAGAACUAGAGUAAUGUAGAGGAUAGUGGAAUUUCCAGUGUAGCGGUGAAAUGCGUAGAUAUUGGAAGGAACACCAGUGGCGAAGGCGACUAUCUGGACAGAUACUGACACUGAGACACGAAAGCGUGGGGAGCAAACAGG
Molecule: ribosomal RNA, 429 nt
Filed under: uncultured bacterium
Lineage: Bacteria
Description: bacterial SSU rRNA
Rfam family: Bacterial small subunit ribosomal RNA
Source: RNAcentral